GUUAUCGAUAAUUAUUUUGAGUUCCUUGUUGUUUUCCAUUUCUUUUUAUUCUUGUAGUGUUGUGAUGUGAGUGAUGUGAUUCCGGGUUAUAGCUGUAUGUGGUUUUUAUGAAUGAAGUUGCACAAUUCACGAAAGUUUUCACAGGCAAAACUUUGGAGUACUGCAGGGCAGAUAAAAAUCUGGUGGUUUUCCGUAUUUGGCGUGUUGCAUAUUUCGCAUAGGUUGGAGUUUUCAGCAUUGAUGAGGUACAGGUGACCUGUUGAAUCCUGAAAACCAAUGGCGGUUUGGUGGCUCUGGGAAGAAUUGUGAGAAAUGUUGGUGGAUUAGGGAGCGAGCAUCUUUUAUCGAGAGGCCUGUUUGUAUGAUUGAACCGAUUUCAGCUGCAUGUUUGGCGAAAAAGUCUGCACGUUCAUUAGCAGCAAUGCCUAUAUGCGAGGGAAUCCGAGGACUUGAGUUGUUUACCUUUUGUAGAAUAUUGUUGGCCAGUUUUUAUUGUGAACUUUAAGAUUCUGUAUUAUUUAUUUUGAGUGUAUUGUUGGUGUUAAUAGAUGCGUUGUUUAAUCCAGAUGGGAGCAGUGAUUGCUGGAAUUUGUUUAAUAUACUUAAACCUACGGCACUAUUUAGUGAGAUACUUUUGAGAAACUUGCUUGUUGGAAAAUUGGUUGAGACGGUGUUAUUUGAAUCGGACUCGUGACGUGAUGAAUUGGAUUUCUAGUUUAUAUAUUUUUAGGUACAACGGUCCUCUAGACUCCUCCAGAGCGGAUACCCAGACAUAUAAACUGGAUCACUACCAAACAUACUGCUAAUUCUAUAACUUUUGUUUUAUCUAGGAUGGUCAGUGCGGAUACUCUUGUUAAUAAUCUAAGAGUUGGCUAUUGCUAAGUGUGUUGAUGACGUACACUUCCUAUAUUAAUACACCGCAAGGGUUUCUUUGGUUUGGGCGCCAUAUUGUUACGUGUCCUUUUAAGCGGAGCCAGAUCGAUGCCUCUAUAUCGCCGACUCUCUUGGGGCAGGUUCCAUCCCGACAUCUCUUGCCCAGGAACGCACACAAUCGAUUUGGUCUAUUCCUAUUGAUAAUUUACUUUAACUUCUGCCAUCAAAACUCCGGACUCCGGGUUCAGAGUCAAACUUAGCCGCCCACCCGACCAUAGUCAUCCUACCAAUCUUGCCUUGAUGACCCCUAUUACCGCUGGAAGUACCACCACUCACCUCAUCUUCCUUUCCCUCCUUUCCUUUUCAGUUAAACUAUCAUAUUUCUAAUUGUCUAAAGAUUCACAUUAUAUUUAUUGAAAAAUGUUGAUUUUAUUUUAUGAUUAGGUAUCCUUUUUCCUUAAUUAUUACUAUUUAAAACUAAUAAA
This is a long non-coding RNA of Musca domestica (house fly), 1358 nucleotides long. RefSeq lists it as uncharacterized. The transcript is spliced from 8 exons. The record is from RefSeq and is a predicted model, not a curated record. NCBI's taxonomy places the organism in Eukaryota, Metazoa, Arthropoda, Insecta, Diptera, Muscidae.